CAUAUAUGUUAUGAUGGUAUGAUACUAAACCCCUAACGGGAAGGAUUGUGCCUGAUGUUCAUAUG
Molecule: small RNA, 65 nt
Filed under: Mytilus galloprovincialis (Mediterranean mussel)
Lineage: Eukaryota; Metazoa; Mollusca; Bivalvia; Mytilida; Mytilidae
Source: RNAcentral